UGAAUAGUGCUGCAAUAAACAUACGCCUUGGGUGGUACCUCCAAGUGUCCUUGCAGAUGUGAAAAGCAAGGUGGUUCAGUUCCCUAAUCAGAGACUUCCUGGCAGGAGAAGGUCCUGGCAUUAGCAUUAGCUGCUGCAACUCUGAAGAGCAGGUUGUGAGCCUGCUGUGGGACUGCCCUCUCCCAAGGGCCAUGGUUAGCUGGUGCAAGGGCCAGCUUUCCCCACAUCAGCACUCCCUCUGCUGCGGGCCUGAGCUCUGCAUGCCCCUGGCUCUCUUCUGCAGAGGGCCUGCUCUCAGCUGCCACAAGAGGGCGCAGGAGAACGGACCUGAGCAGAGAGCCAGGAGCUCCUCUGCUGGUCCUCCCAGGCACCACCCCUGCUGGGAGGAAGGCUUGGGAGUCCCCUGAGACAGAUCCUCAGUCUCUUCUUUCUGCCUGUGUCUCAGAAAGACCAGCUCCUCCUACUGUCUUCUGUGCUAGGGAUCCCUUCCUUGUUGAGUGGGACCUGAGUUUUGAGAGGAUCUUCUGUUCCUCUUCAUCCAAUCCCUUUCCUUCCAAGACCCAAGAGAGGAAGGCAUGUGGUGGGCCCCAGUCCUGCUUCUAGCUUUCCUGUCUCCUGCCAGUCAGAAAUCUUCCAAUUUGGAAGGGAGAACGAAGUCAGUCACCAGGCCAACUGGGUCAUCCGCUGAAAUCACCUGUGAUCUUCCUGAAGUCAGUAGCUUCUACAUCCACUGGUACCUACACCAGGAGGGGAAGGCCCCACAGCGUCUUCUGUACUAUGACUCCUCCAACUCCAGGGUUGUGUUGGAAUCAGGAAUCAGUUCAGGAAAGUAUAAUAGUUAUGGAAGCACAAGGAGGAGCUUGAGAUUGAUACUGCGAAAUCUAAUUGAAAAUGAUUCUGGGGUCUAUUACUGUGCCAACUGGGACAGGCACAGUGAUUCAGACCUGCCGAACACCACACUGAAAAUCUGCCGUGUGGCUGCUUCUAGUACACAGGAUAGAGCCACCCGCUCUCACUUCCUGCCACCACAUUUACUGUAUGCUGAACAAGAGAAACACAGCUUAACUCCUGAUCUCCCCUGCAGGAUUACACUCCCCUGGCAGCAGCUGCCCCCUGUUCCCCACCCUCCCCCAGGACUUCCCUGAAGACCAAGCUGCCAUCUCAGCUAAGCCUCAGCGAAGCAGCCUGGCUGAGAGCAAGGUUCUUUAGCUCUCCUAGGAC
Chlorocebus sabaeus (green monkey) is the source of this 1221-nucleotide non-coding RNA. NCBI's taxonomy places the organism in Eukaryota, Metazoa, Chordata, Mammalia, Primates, Cercopithecidae. The record is from the annotation of a RefSeq genome assembly.